AAAAAAUUAGAGUGAAAAAAUGGGAGAAGAAAUUAGUAACAAACAGAUCUUAUUAAAAGAUUAUGUAAAUGGAUUUCCAAAAGAAUCAGAUAUGGAAUUAAGAAUUAGUAGUAUGAAAUUGAAAGUUCCAGAAGAUUCCAAUAGUGUUUUGGUUAAAAAUCUUUAUUUAUCUUGUGAUCCAUAUAUGAGACCUCGUAUGAAGAAAACUGAAGGCAGUUAUACUGAUUCCUUUACUCCUGGCUCUCCUAUUGUGGGGUUUGGUGUGGCUAAAGUUGUGGAUUCAGCUCAUCCAAAGUUCAAGAAAGAUGAGUUAGUUUGGGGAAUAACUGGAUGGGAA
RNAcentral lists this unclassified non-coding RNA (337 nucleotides) under Hevea brasiliensis (rubber tree). The record is from RNAcentral. Lineage: Eukaryota; Viridiplantae; Streptophyta; Magnoliopsida; Malpighiales; Euphorbiaceae.